This 75-nucleotide antisense RNA is filed under the name Catenulispora acidiphila DSM 44928. RNAcentral describes it as "ASpks TB sRNA". It matches the Rfam family "ASpks TB sRNA". The record is from Rfam by way of RNAcentral. Lineage: Bacteria; Bacillati; Actinomycetota; Actinomycetes; Catenulisporales; Catenulisporaceae.
CUUCGACGCGCCCAGCCACAGCGGGUCGUCGGUCUUGCGGCCGCGGCCGUACGUCGCCACCAGUGCCCGCGCCUC